This 136-nucleotide ribosomal RNA is filed under the name uncultured bacterium. Its description in RNAcentral is "partial 16S ribosomal RNA". It matches the Rfam family "Bacterial small subunit ribosomal RNA", at positions 355 to 509 of the family's 1533-position model. The record is from RNAcentral.
UGGGGAAUAUUGCACAAUGGGGAAACCCUGAUGCAGCGACGCCGAGUGAGGGAAGAAGGUUUUCGGAUUGUAAACCUCUGUCCUUGGUGAAGAUAAUGACGGUAACCAAGGAGGAAGCUACGGCUAACUACGUGCC